UUUAUCAAGAGCGGCGGAGGGACUGGCCCAAUGAAACCCGGCAACCUGUAUUAAGGUGCCAAUUCCUGCGGAUUAUCCGAGAGAUAAA
This 88-nucleotide non-coding RNA is filed under the name human gut metagenome. RNAcentral describes it as "SAM riboswitch (S box leader)". It matches the Rfam family "SAM riboswitch aptamer (S box leader)". From Rfam's summary of the family: The SAM riboswitch is found upstream of a number of genes which code for proteins involved in methionine or cysteine biosynthesis in Gram-positive bacteria. The SAM riboswitch acts at the level of transcription termination control. The predicted structure consists of a complex stem-loop region followed by a single stem loop terminator region. The record is from RNAcentral.